GUUGACGGUCUCCUCUCCUGCCUCCUGCGGCUUCCAUUACCAUGGCAGAGACUGUGGUGUCUGAGGUGGUGUAGCGUACUGAAGCAAGGCUGUCUUGAAGAAGAGGAGACAACUCACAAUUCUACCACCUUUGUUGACCUCUUCUUCCCCCCAACUUAUUGCUGUAGAGGCUACCUGAGCUCAUUGUCCCUGGAGAUGGACCAAAUAGAAGAAUAAGCAGUGCCUGUGUGCUGAAGGUAAAGAAAUUUCAUGUGGUGGAUUCCUACAAAAGAAAAAGCUGCAAAAGAGUCAACCAGGAAAGGUGCUAGACACACAUCCAAUGGCUGCUGAGUGAUGAAUGAGAAAGAAACCUUCGGUGUAGUAAGCCAUUGAAAUUUGGGGGAAAUUUGUAAUAGCUGUUGCUGUAAACCUCCGCACUGCAAAACACACACAUCCUAGAUAAUUAAAAGACAACUUCUACCAGA
Long non-coding RNA from Homo sapiens (human), 464 nucleotides. Ensembl annotates it as AHI1 divergent transcript. Its record names the gene AHI1-DT. The record is from Ensembl. Lineage: Eukaryota; Metazoa; Chordata; Mammalia; Primates; Hominidae.